This 6996-nucleotide long non-coding RNA is filed under the name Marmota monax (woodchuck). The record is from RNAcentral. Lineage: Eukaryota; Metazoa; Chordata; Mammalia; Rodentia; Sciuridae.
GUCACAUUUGCUUAUUCUGGGACCCUAAGGGAGUCUGGAUACAUCUUCAGGUGAUUCAUAGGAAUAAACUAGGUGUGGGACACCCAGAGACUCUUUGUGCUAUCUUCUUAAGAUUGUUGUAAAUCUGAAACUUCUAAAAAUAUAAUCUGUUUAUUAAACAUUAGGGAUAAGGAUGAAAUAGAUAACAGAGCUAUUAUGUGCUGUAAGCAAUUUGAAUGUAUUUGGACCAUAUUUGGGAGCCUCUGAAAGACCGAGUUGUAAAUGUUUGCUUCGAAAGCCCCAUGAAGGCUCAGGUCAACAAGAGAUUUAGGUCAGAAGAGACCAGGUGGAGGCCUGCGCCAGGCAGUAGCAGUGGUACUGAAUGGGGGGCAGGAGUCAAGAGAGUAACCAAUGGAGUUAACAGCACUGAAUCCCUGAAUCAGUCAGGGCAGUAGACCAAAGAGGAGAGAAGUCUACCAUGAGGGGAUUCAAGUUGAAAAUUGAAAUAUUGGAAAUGUUUACAGUAGGAAAACAAUUCUUAAUCCUAAUUCAGUUUUGGUCAGGGAAUUUUCCAGUGAGAAGGAGAAACUGAAUAAUAAUGGUAUAUGGGGAAGGAAAUUACCAUUUACUACAUGCUCUACUCAAGUUUUUGUUUAUUGUUUUUUUCUUAGGAAAUGAAUAUUUCUAGUGAACACAAUUAAUUAUAUGCAGUAGUAAACCUUUAUAAAAGUUUCCUUGAGAAGAUAAUACUUAGGCUAAAUGCUUUACAUUUCUUUCUUAGUUGUUACAUUUAUGAGAUCAUUAAGUUAAGAAGAGGUCAGUGGUUCUAAAAGUAUUUUAAAACAACUGCUUCCAUGGUCUUUUACAGCAUAAUAUUGAUUUUAACUAUUCACAGUGUUACUUUGUAACUAAGUCAAGGUAUUACUAGUAGCAAUAACACUUGAGCCUCAAAACUUCAAAAGUUGUAAACAAUAUUAAAAGAUUGUUUAUUCACAUAAAAUUAAAAAUGGUUGUUCCACACCUGUGAGCAAUUCUACCUUAAAUAAUACUUUGGAAUGCAUGCUUUUUCUAUUUUAUGGCACCACCAUUUUUAGAGAUGUCUUCCAAGUUAUUAUUAUGUUCUUUUUUUUCAAUCAGUGGGGGAACAAAGGAUACACUGGAUAAUGAAUGGUGUUUCUUAAAGGCCAAGAUUGAAAGGGACAUUUUAAUUCCACUCACAUUCUAUUUUUAAGAACUUAGUCAUAUAGUCACACCUGCUUCUUGGUCAUAUAUGUGAAAUAUAUUCUAACUGUAUGCCCAAAAAUAAAAGUUGAGUUUCGAGGGAAGCUACUCAAACUGUGAAACACUCUUCUAGUUAUUAAAUAUCCUAUGCUGAGAAUACUCCCAAAAGAGAAUACCCCAAAUCUCAUCCAGUCAUUGCAUCUAAUUAAAAUCUAGUAUUAUCAGGAGAUGAGCAGUAGCUAUUGUCAAGUCUGCAUAUGGCUCCUCUUCAUCUGUAAAAUCUAUUAAUUGGGAUGACAAGUUUAUCAUUUUAGAAGACAGAAUAAUACUCCACCCUGUCUCUACUCCUUCUUCUUCGGGGACAUCCUAUACUAAGCUCCAGAACCAAUUUAUAUAUUAGGUUACAUGGUAAUGGAAAAUUAAGUUUGUAGAAAUUAAAUUAUGUUUCUGAUUAGCUGACUUUUACAUAAUUAUUAUAGAUUAUCUGAGGGAACCCAAUGUAAUCAUGAUGGUCAUUGAGAAUAGAAGAGGAGCCAGAAGUGUUCUCUGAGAGAAAGAGAUGUAAUGAUGAAAUGAGGUCAGGGUGAUGCAAUGUGAGGACUCAACCAACAUUGCUAUAUUUGAAAACAGACAAAGGGGCCAUGAUCCAAGUAAUGUGAGUUGUAAUCCUCUAGAUGCUAGAAAGGGAAAGAAAAUAAAUUAUUAGCUAGCAUUACCAUAAAGAAAUGUAGCCCUGCUGACAAUUUGAUUUUGACUUGAUGAUACUUGUAUUGCACUGCCUCCAAAAUGGUAAGAUAAUAAGUUUAUGUUGUCUUAAGCCACAAAAUUUGUUGUAAUUUUUAUAGCAGCAAAAUAAAUUAAUGCAAGUCUCUCUUUCCAUAAACAUCUAGUAUGCCAUCGUAGUAGUGGAACAGGAAAACUAGAAAAACAUUCCCAUGUAAAAAGGGAAAGUGGAAGAGAACAAGUAGGAAUAUCCUAGCAUACAGCAAGGAUAUAGCCUUUUGGAAAGGUAUGUGAGUCUCACAAUGCCCCUCCCCCAGUAAUUAGAGGUGUUCCUUGAUUACAGUUGAUUUUGAUUGGGGAGAAGCAAAUUCCCUAAUUUUUAGUAGGUAAGUCUCCUAGCUAUGCCUUCUUCAAGGUUAUUCCUCUGCCAUUAUUCUCUACCUGAAAUAGGUUUUGGGGAUUGUGAUUUCCUUAGGUACUUCAUUGUUUUUAGAUCCUGCUUCUUGGUCAUAUAAUUCAGGAGCCAUAAUAUUUUGGUUUUGUAAUUACUCCUCCAAAUUUGAAUAGGCUUAUUUUCUAUUUAAUUUUAGGUAGUUCCAGUGUCUUUAAACACAUUGAAGUUGUUUUCAAGUUAGCUAGAUAUGAUAUAUCCUUGGUUCUAUACCUGUGGUGUGCUGUAACUAGCCACUACUGGGUUUCAAGUUCUGAUUGGUAAAUUUUCAGGCAUUUUGGGAGCCAGUUGACAUUAUGUUGAUAGCUUGAAAUUGUCUGUGGUGGGAAUAGUUAUACCAUAGACAUGAGCAAAUACUAUAAAUCAUGGCUUUUUAUUUAUGUCCUUUUUGAAAGCCAUGUGUUAAAAAUUUAAUAGCACAGCAGUGUCUGUGUCUUUAUUUCUCAACUUAAUGUGGCUAACUUUACUCCCUCUGAAGAAAUCAGUGGGAAUACAGCAUAACAUAAUCUUGGCUGCAAAACUGAGUUAUGUUUUUCAACUGGGAAGUCAUACUAAGCCUUUCAUUCAAUGAUUUUUACAUUUUUAACUACUACUGUUUGGUGCUUAGAAUGACUCUGAUUUUCUAUCCCUUUAACUUCUUAAAUUUCUGAAUUUUCUCCACUUGCUAAAUAUUUCUGCUUAUACAUCAGCCAAUUAUUUCCCUAUCUUAUCUCCUAAUAAUACCUUACAAAAAGUGGACCAUAAAUGUCAACCCAUCAUUAUCACUGCCAUUCAAGUUACUGCAGGUGAAAUUUUCACCAAAUGUUUUCUCACUGUACCAGAUGGUUCUCACUGCAUUAUUGAUUUAACUGCCCAACCACUGUCCAACAACUAAACCACUCCAUAUAUUGUAAAGUUUUGUUAAAUUGUACCCUACUUCAAAGUGACAAUUUCUGUAUUACUUCAGAUAACAUUACCUACUGUAAUUGAUGAAUCCCAAAAUGUAAUUUUCUCAAUACAGUAGAAGUUUAUCUUCCACACAUAUCCAAAAUGGAUUUCAGCAAUUUGCAGAUGGCUCUUGUUCAAGUGGUGAUUCAGGGAUUCAGGCUCCUCUCUUAUGGCUCCUGUGUCCAAUAUACUGCUUUCCGGGUCACUUUGCUCUUCUGCUACCAGCUGGCAGUAAGAAAAAGAGCAUUGAGGAUAAUAAAUGGGGCACUUUUAUGGGCUAGUUCUGUAAGUGGCAUAUUUAAUUUCUGCUUACAUGUCUUUAGCUAGAAAUCAUUCACAUAGGCACUUUAUUGCAAAGGACACAGCACAUGUAAUCUAGAUGUUGGUAGAAGACAAGAAAUAAAUUUUGUAAAAAACCAGCUAGUGUCUAGCACUUUAAUUGUUCUGCUAACUAUGUUAUGUUAAUGGCUAAUGUGCCCCCAUGAUUUGAUUUUUAUCUUAUUUUAAAGAAUUUUAUAAUUUUGAAUAACACUAUAUCAACACCAUUAUGUACUGUCUAUUCUGGCUAUUAAUGGAAUUUUCAUUUCUGGAAAUCAAUAUCUCCAAAGAAAAUCAUAAAAUACAAAGUAUAUACCCUGUAAUACCCUCUAAGGGUAGCUUCAGAGUAAAUUUUCUUAUCUCUGAAAACAACAUAGAUGCAUAUUUGAUUCAGAAGCUGUAAAGCUGUAAUCAUUAGGCAUCUUAGUCAUAAAAUGUAAGUCCUUGUGUUUAAUUUCUGGUGUGGCACAAAGCAUUAUUCUAGUUAUUGAAUCUCUUUGAAUUACAAUGAGUUCAUCUGCAAAAUAAGAACUGAAAAUGUUAGCCAUUAUGUAGGAUUAUUGUGUGGAUUAAAUAAGAAAAUGUAUAUAAACUACUUAGCUCAGGACCUGAUAAAUAGUAAGCACUAAAUAAGUAUUAGAUAUUACUAAACAUGCUUUACUUCUGAAUUACCAACAUUUCAAACUGUCCUCACUGAGAAUUCAUUAAACCCUGUUAUACUCUGGAUUUUGAGGCUGUUGUACUCACUUUGAUCAUACUCAUCUAGCUCAUCAACUCUAGAUAUAACAUGAAUAAUUUAUAUUUUAUUUCACCACCAAGCACCAGUGUUUUUCAGAUUUAUUUUUGGGAAAAUCCAUAUUUUUAUUUCCGCAAUUUAGGCAAUUGUCUUAUAUCUUCCAAACAGACUUCUGAUAUGCUAGCAAAUAAUGAGAAACAACUUAAAAUCUAUGAAAAGCAGGAGGAGCAACCAUGUCUUGGAAGAAGAAAGAAAAUGGCAUGUGUACAUCCAUGAAGAUUAAUGAGCCACCAACACUCAUAUAAUAUUAAGAUGAAAUCCUAACUAUGCCACUUUGAAACCUGACAGGAUAAUGAUUAACAAUUUUAGAGUGUUUAUCAUAGGCCAGGCAUGUAGAUAAAAAGCAUGGCAAAUGUUAAUAUAUAUUAACUCAUUCCAUAUUCACAAAUACUGUAAAAAUUAUGUACUAUUACUAUCUCCAUUUUACAAAUGUUCAAACUCUGAGAUGCUACAUAUAAAUAUUUGUGCAAUUAUAAUGGGGCUAAAACAUACAUGAUAAAGAAUCUUCAGUUUUCCAUUUGCUUUCUAUCCUUGCAUUCUUUUCUUGCCAUUUUUACUAUCUAUUUGUGAAAUUUAAAUAUUCUAUAAAUGACAAACAUGCAAAGACAGUUCUUAGAAUGUAUUAUUCCUAUGGUUAUCCAGACUUCAAAGAAGGAGGAUGAAAAUAGGAAUGAUCCUGAACUAUGGAGUUUCAUUAAGGUAGUAAGCCAUUGCCAUUAUGGUUUGGAUCUGAAAAUGUUCCUCUAAAAGUUCAUGGUUUGAAAGCAUGAUCCCCAAGGCAGGAAUGUUCAGAGGUAAAAUGAUUGAUGAUUGACUUAUGAAAGCUAAUCGACUUCAUUAGUGGAUUAAUCCAUUUGGUGAAUUAAAAAUUUAAAUAGAUUACUAGGUGGUAACUGUGGACGGGUUGGAAGUAGCUGGAGGAACUAGGUCACUGGAGGAAUGUCCUGGUGAAGUUCCAGAUGAGGAUAACUAGAUAUGUCAUCCAACCACUUCCAGCGUUGGCAGACUCUGGUCACUAGAGGGGGUGUCUCAGAUCCUGAAAAAAGACUAAAACAAUCAUCAGCACCAGAGCAGUAGAAUACUGUGGAGUCUUACCCCUGCAGUUAGCUCUCAGAAUCCCCCAAAAGCCAUGGCCAGAUGUAGUUCACUCUGACUUUAACCCCUGGGGACUCAGGAUAGUGAAGUGCUUAGUCCGUGGCUGGCCGAUUCAGCCCAGGAAAUAUUUCCAGGAUGUACUAGGAGUCAGAGUAGGACCCUAAAGAAGGAGUGGACCAAGAAACAUAACAAUGUGGUAGCACAUAAUUUCUCCACUGUCAGUACUGGGAAAUAUAGAAAUAGAUGUUAUGCAGAGCAAUUCUUCCUCAGGGUGACCAAGACAGAGGAAUUGUACAGCUUCCCCAUGAGUCACAUGAGGAAACUGAGAACUGGUGAGGGCAACCACCUUAAGUCCCUAAUUAUGCAUUACUGAAGAUAAGAACAUUUUAACAUAACCAUAUACUACUAGCCCACUUAUUAAUAUUGAAAAUAUUUACUUAGUAUUAUGUAAUAUAUACUAUAUAUCUCACCAAUGUUCUCAAAGUUCGCCAAAGGUCACAAAGUUGUCUUUUUUUUUUUUUUUAGCAAUUGUGAUUUUUAAUAUAAUAAAAGUCCUGGAGUAUGAGAAAAACAACAGGGGACACAUAAAUGUAUUCAAUGUAAAAGGGAUUGUUUUCCUCAGUCUCACCAAGAUUAUCAACAGUCCUAUUGGAGGGAGGGAAGUGGAGAAUGAAAUAAAAUAAUAAAAUAAAACAAUUAUUUUUAGUUCCUUGAGUAUAUAUGUAAUGUAAAAAUGUCUUUUUUGAUUUCAUCUUGAUCUAAGCUUUUGUUCUCACAGCAGGAAAGAAAGAGAAAAAACAUUGUGAUUCAAAGUCAAUGAUCUUGUCUGGUUUAAAACAAGGAGCAAUCAAGAUGAAGUUCUUCUCAAACUAUUUCUCUUAUGGGACCCACCUGCCUUUAUUCUCAGUUGGUGUCAAGGUAUCCUCUUGGCAGCAGGAGGAGGCAAGACCUCAGGUCUGUGUGCUAUCCUGUAGCCUUCAUUGGUCCCCGGGGAGUACUGGAGAGGAUGUGGGGAAAAGGGUACUCUUGUACAUUGCUGGUGGGACUGCAAACUGGUGCGGCCAAUUUGGAAAGCAGUAUGGAGAUUCCUGGGAAUGCUGGGAAUGGAACCACCAUUUGACCCAGCUAUUGCCCUUCUUGGACUAUUCCCUGAAGACCUUAAAAGAGCAUACUACAGGGAUACUGCUACAUCGAUGUUCAUAGCAACACAAUUCACAAUUGCUAGACUGUGGAACCAACCCAGAUGCCCUUCAAUAGAUGAAUGGAUAAAAAAAAUGUGGCAUUUAUACACCAUGGAGUAUUACGCAGCACUAAAAAAUGACAAAAUCAUAGAAUUUGCAGGGAAAUGGAUGGCACUAGAGCAGAUUAUGCUUAGUGAAGCUAGCCAAUCCCUAAAAAACAAAUACCAAAUGUCUUCUUUGAUAUAAUGAGAGCAACUAAGAACAGAGCAGGGAGGAAGAGCAGGAAGAAAAGAUUAACAUUAAAC